CUACGGGCGACUCCAGUGGGGAAUAUUGCACAAUGGAGGGAACUCUGAUGCAGCAACGCCGCGUGGAGGAUGACGCAUUUCGGUGUGUAAACUCCUUUUAUAUAGGAAGAUAAUGACGGUACUAUAUGAAUAAGCACCGGCUAACUCCGUGCCAGCAGCCGCGGUAAUACGGAGGGUGCAAGCGUUACUCGGAAUCACUGGGCGUAAAGCGCAUGCAGGCGGUUAAAUAAGUUGGAAGUGAAAUCCUAUGGCUCAACCAUAGAACUGCUUCCAAAACUGUUUAACUAGAGUCUGGGAGGGGAAGAUGGAAUUAGUAGUGUAGGGGUAAAAUCCGUAGAGAUUACUAGGAAUACCAAAAGCGAAGGCGAUCUUCUGGAACAGUACUGACGCUGAGAUGCGAAAGCGUGGGGAGCAAACAGGAUUAGAUACCCUUGUAGUC
This 439-nucleotide ribosomal RNA is filed under the name uncultured bacterium. RNAcentral's name for it is "partial 16S ribosomal RNA". It matches the Rfam family "Bacterial small subunit ribosomal RNA", at positions 339 to 795 of the family's 1533-position model. The record is from RNAcentral.